RNAcentral lists this ribosomal RNA (397 nucleotides) under uncultured bacterium. Its description in RNAcentral is "partial 16S ribosomal RNA". It matches the Rfam family "Bacterial small subunit ribosomal RNA", at positions 523 to 918 of the family's 1533-position model. The record is from RNAcentral.
AUACGUAGGGGGCGAGCGUUGUCCGGAAUGAUUGGGCGUAAAGGGCGCGUAGGCGGCCCGGUAAGUCUGGAGUGAAAGUCCUGUUUUUAAGAUGGGAAUUGCUUUGGAUACUGUCGGGCUUGAGUGCAGGAGAGGUAAGUGGAAUUCCCAGUGUAGCGGUGAAAUGCGUAGAGAUUGGGAGGAACACCAGUGGCGAAGGCGACUUACUGGACUGUAACUGACGCUGAGGCGCGAAAGUGUGGUGAGCAAACAGGAUUAGAUACCCUGGUAGUCCACGCGGUAAACGAUGAAUGCUAGGUGUUGCGGGUAUCGACCCCUGCAGUGCCGGAGUAAACACAAUAAGCAUUCCGCCUGGGGAGUACGGCCGCAAGGUUGAAACUUAAAGGAAUUUACGGGG